CCCUUAGACGUUCUGGGCCGCACGCGCGCUACACUGACGAAGGCAACGAGCUUUCCUUUACCGAAAGGUACGGGUAAUCUUUUGAAACUUCGUCGUGCUGGGGAUAGAUCCUUGCAAUUUUUGAUAUUAAACGAGGAAUGCCUAGUAAGCGCAAGUCAUCAACUUGCGUUGAUUACGUCCCUGCCCUUUGUACACACCGCCCGUCGCUACUACCGAUUGAAUGGUUUAGUGAGGCCUUCGGAUCCGCGACUCGUUUGUGGAGAAGUUGGACAAACUCAGUCAUUUAGAGGAAGUAAAAGUCGUAACA
Molecule: ribosomal RNA, 307 nt
Filed under: uncultured eukaryote
Lineage: Eukaryota
Description: partial 18S ribosomal RNA
Rfam family: Eukaryotic small subunit ribosomal RNA
Source: RNAcentral